AAUGAACGCUGGCGGCGUGCUUAACACAUGCAAGUCGAACGAGAAAGGGAUUGCUUGCAAUCCUGAGUAGAGUGGCGCACGGGUGAGUAACACGUAGAUAAUCUACCUCCAAAACUGGGAUAACUAUUCGAAAGGGUAGCUAAUACCGGAUGAAGUUGCCAGGCAUAAGUCUGGUCAUGAAAGGUUGCCUCUUCUUGAAAGCAAUUGUUUGGAGAUGAGUCUGCGGACCAUUAGUUUGUUGGUGGGGUAAAGGCCUACCAAGACUACGAUGGUUAGCUGGUCUGAGAGGAUGAUCAGCCACACUGGAACUGACACACGGUCCAGACUCCUACGGGAGGCAGCAGUGAGGAAUUUUGCGCAAUGGGGGAAACCCUGACGCAGCAACGCCGCGUGGGUGAAGAAGGCCCUUGGGUCGUAAAGCUCUGUCGACAGGGAAGAAAUUACUUCAUAUUAAUAGUGUGUUGUAUUG
This 469-nucleotide ribosomal RNA is filed under the name uncultured Desulfobacula sp. RNAcentral's name for it is "bacterial SSU rRNA". It matches the Rfam family "Bacterial small subunit ribosomal RNA", at positions 29 to 473 of the family's 1533-position model. Lineage: Bacteria; Pseudomonadati; Thermodesulfobacteriota; Desulfobacteria; Desulfobacterales; Desulfobacteraceae. The record is from RNAcentral.